RNAcentral lists this ribosomal RNA (274 nucleotides) under uncultured bacterium. Its description in RNAcentral is "partial 16S ribosomal RNA". It matches the Rfam family "Bacterial small subunit ribosomal RNA", at positions 84 to 354 of the family's 1533-position model. The record is from RNAcentral.
CCCGCCGGCGACCGGCGCACGGGUGAGUAACACGUAUGAAACCUGCCCGUAGCAGGGGGAUAAGCGGAAGAAAUUCCGUCUAAUACCGCGUAACAACCCGAGGAGGCAUCUCCUCGGAUUUAAAGGAAGCGAUUCCGGCUACGGAUGGUCAUGCGUCGCAUUAGCUAGUUGGCGGGGUAACGGCCCACCAAGGCGACGAUGCGUAGGGGUUCUGAGAGGAAGGUCCCCCACACUGGUACUGAGACACGGACCAGACUCCUACGGAAGGCAGCAG